UCGGCUACAGGAGGGAGUGGUUCCAGGACCCCAGUCAAGGCACAGCAACUGUGGGCAGAAGUCCUGCAGUUUGUCCCCUGUUCCAGCUAGGACGAUGUCCUUGGCGGAGGUACCCAGCCAGGGGUACAGUCAUGCUCCUCAAACCAUUCCUUAACAUUUUUUGCAAUGUAGCAGGGUGCAUUAUCUUGCUGAAAGUAUCCACUGCCAUCAGGGAACAC
Molecule: non-coding RNA, 218 nt
Organism: Pelobates cultripes (western spadefoot toad)
Lineage: Eukaryota; Metazoa; Chordata; Amphibia; Anura; Pelobatidae
Source: the annotation of a GenBank genome assembly